Long non-coding RNA from Hydra vulgaris (swiftwater hydra), 1114 nucleotides. RefSeq lists it as uncharacterized. NCBI's taxonomy places the organism in Eukaryota, Metazoa, Cnidaria, Hydrozoa, Anthoathecata, Hydridae. The record is from RefSeq and is a predicted model, not a curated record.
GUAUUUUUUAUUUUGUGAGUCGAAAUUAAGUUGAACUAAACCAAAUGCCGAAAGGAAAGGUCCUUACCGAUAUUGAAAAAGGUCAAAUAUUGGCUUUUCAUCGAGAAAAAGUUCCAAAUCGAGAAAUUGCUAGAAGAUUGAAGAGAUCAGAUCACGUUAUCCGUAAUUUCUUGAAAAAUCCAGUAGAUUAUGCAACAAUCAAGAAGAAACCAAAGAAAUCUAAGGUUUCAAGUCGUGAAAAACGCAGAACUGUUCAACUCGCAUCAAAUUCAUCAAAAAGUUUGAAAACAAUUAAGUCAGAUAUGGGUUUAAAUGUUUGCAAGGAGACGAUUAGGAAAGUUCUUAAAGACAGCCCACACAUUGUACGAUCAAAAAUGAAUAAAGCACCAAGUUUGAAGCCCGUUCACUAACAGAAACGGAUGGAAUUCGCCCGCGAAAACAUGGCACGCGAUUGGGAACAAGUGAUUUUGUCAGACGAGAAAAUUUAAUCUUGAUGGGCCUGAUGGUUUUAAUGGCUAAUGGCGUGAUUUGAGGAGAGAACCCAAAUAUUUUUCAACAAGGAAUUUCGGUGGUGGAUCUUUGAUGGUUUGGCUUGGGUUUUGUGCAACAGAAAAGUUAAAUUUAGCAUUUACAUCUUGCAAAAUGGAAAGUUCUGAAUACAUUGAUGUGCUAAAAUCAUGUUUGAUUCCAUUUAAAAACAAACAUUGACGCAAAAAGUUUGUUUUCCAACAAGACAACGCCAGCAUUCACACUAGUAACGAGACUAAAGCUUGGUUUGAAGCUAAAAAAAUUGAGCAAAUGUGGUGGCCUGCUCGUAUUCCAGAUUUGAAUCCUGUUGAAAAUAUCUGGGGAAUCAUUGUAAGACGUAUAUAUGCUGACCAGAAGCAAUAUAACUCUGUGAGCUAAAAGUAGCGGUAUCAGAAUGCUGGGAGGAUAUGGAGCCAAAAGUGCUGAAAAACUUGGUGGGAAGUAUGCCAAAACAAAUUUAUCAAGUAAUUGAGGGCAAAGGAAGUCCAAUCGAGUACUAAAAAUGUGAUAAAAACAUUUUUUUUUUUGAUAGUUUAGUUAAAAAAUGUGAACUGCAUUUAUAGAAAAUAGUCAGCUAUCUUUUGAA